Molecule: long non-coding RNA, 426 nt
Organism: Dreissena polymorpha
Lineage: Eukaryota; Metazoa; Mollusca; Bivalvia; Myida; Dreissenidae
Exons: 3
Source: RefSeq, a predicted model, not a curated record
ACCAGCCCGCCAAUGGACGGAUGACAGUCAAUGCAACAACUUACCAAGGAACGACCAUAUUCUCGUGCAAUCUUGGUUAUAGUCUUAUAGGAAGUCAGAUAUUGUUGUGUCAGGCUAAUGGGACAUGGAAUGCUUCAGAACCAGUCUGUCAAAUCAGAGACUGUGGAUCCUUGCUUGCACCAGAAAGAGGAAGUGUUGCGUACACAAGUUCUAUAUACCAGUCCAUAGCAAGGUACGAUUGUAACACAGGAUACGAUAUGGUCGGCAAUGGAACACGUGACUGCUUGGGCGAUGCCACAUGGAGUGGACAACCCCCCGUUUGUCAAAUUAAAGAUUGCCGAAUACCUCCGAUUCUACUAAACGGUACUGCCGCUUUCAGCAACACAACGUUUAGAUCAACUGUCCUGUACACAUGCGAUGCAGGGU